GGAGAAAGAACACUGUCAGUCCAUGCAUACAAUAUAUAAUGUAUGUCUGAAUUAAUGUACAGUAAUAAGCAGAAAUGUGAUAUCUUGGAGUUUUCUGAUCAGUACUGUACAUACUUUCCCUGAACUCCUGUAAGCUGAUACAUUUUUAUUAACUUACAGAUCUUGUGGAGAGAGAAGAAAGUUGCCCAUCUCCAGAAAAUUUUCUCAAACCUGGCCCUGCUCCAGAAAAGGAUGAGCCCAGGACCCAGUGGAGCCAGAAUCUGUCCAGCUGUCUAGGGAUACUGGUCUUAGGCUGCACCGUACUCCACCCCACCUCAGCUCGACCUGAAGCUCCGGGGCCAGAACAACAGGAAGUUGUCUUCUCAGAGCCCAGAGUCGGGUAAGGCUACAGCCUUGGGCCUGCCUCCUCUCAGCAGCCA
RNAcentral lists this long non-coding RNA (419 nucleotides) under Fukomys damarensis (Damara mole-rat). RNAcentral's name for it is "lncRNA (ENSFDAG00000021951.1)". Lineage: Eukaryota; Metazoa; Chordata; Mammalia; Rodentia; Bathyergidae. The record is from RNAcentral.